CAGCCAUGUAGUGAGCACAAAACGAACUAUUCUUUCGCCUUUUACUAAAGAAUACCGUGUGCUCGCUACUUUCAAGUGGCAUACGCCUAUUUUUGGAGAGCCUCUUCAAUAAUUGAAGAGC
Molecule: small nuclear RNA, 121 nt
Filed under: Helianthus annuus (common sunflower)
Lineage: Eukaryota; Viridiplantae; Streptophyta; Magnoliopsida; Asterales; Asteraceae
Description: U5 spliceosomal RNA
Rfam family: U5 spliceosomal RNA
About the family: U5 RNA is a component of both types of known spliceosome. The precise function of this molecule is unknown, though it is known that the 5' loop is required for splice site selection and p220 binding, and that both the 3' stem-loop and the Sm site are important for Sm protein binding and cap methylation.
Source: RNAcentral